AGGGUCAAUAUGGAAAUUGGGCUUAUGGGCCAGGUGAAACUGGGCUUAUAGGGACUAGUGUAGAAACUGGGCUUAGGAGCCAGUGUAAAACUGGGCUUAGGGGCCAGUUUAAAACUGGGCUUAGGGGCCAGUUUAAAACUAGGCUUAGGGCAAGUGUAAAACUACGCUUAGGGGUCAGUGUAAAACUGGGCUUAGGGACCAGUGUAGGAAUUGGG
This 215-nucleotide long non-coding RNA is filed under the name Vigna radiata. RNAcentral describes it as "long non-coding RNA (VRAD_LNC013347)". Lineage: Eukaryota; Viridiplantae; Streptophyta; Magnoliopsida; Fabales; Fabaceae. The record is from RNAcentral.